CCCUCGUCUUCUCAGGACUCCGCGGGAGCCGUUAAGUACCUCAGUCUCCUCGGGAAGUGGAGGGCGCGCCCGGGGUGAGAGUGACGGGGAGCGCUGGGGGCGGGAGUUCUCGGGUCCCCGCCGUCCCCAGCGCCGUGUGUGCGCCCGGGCGGGACCUCGGCGGGGGGCGGCCGGUGGGGGACCUCGGGCUCCCGGGGCGCAGGUGCGGCGGAGCCAGUCAGGAGCGGGGACCGUGUGCCCGGCUCUCCUGAAGCCCGACCCCAGAAAAGCCCACGUCGGCGGCGGGAGGCCGGUUAAAACGCGGACGGGGCCCGAGUCUGCGGGGCAGCCGAGCUCCGGAGCCCGAAAGGCCCGGUCAGUCCCGGCUCUGUCACCUGUGAGCAGGGGCGACAGAAGGGCCUGGGUCAGCGUGCUCAUGUGGACGUGAGAUUGAUAGCGCCGUCUUACGGCGUCGUUUUGAGCCUUAGGUCCGAGUCAUCGUUGUACAGUAUUUAGAUGAGGGCCGGGUAGGAAGCCCUGCGUAAGGGACAGCUGCUGCCGUAGUUGGAAGUCAGUUUGUUGGUGUCGCUGGAUGGCCUGAUGUGCUCUCACGACCGCUUCCCCAGCGCCCAGGCUCAGAUCCAUGUCCCAGUUUCCUUGAACAAAGCAACCCUUGUGAGGCAGGAAGCAGGGGCCUCUGUGCAGGAGUCUUACCUGGAGGAGAGCACCCCUCUGACCUUAGACCUCUCUCCAGAGCUUCAGAGCGGAGACAGAAGAGCCCAG
RNAcentral lists this long non-coding RNA (762 nucleotides) under Equus asinus (donkey). RNAcentral describes it as "lncRNA (ENSEASG00005032959.1)". The record is from RNAcentral. Lineage: Eukaryota; Metazoa; Chordata; Mammalia; Perissodactyla; Equidae.